UACGUAGGCAGCGAGCGUUGUUCGGAGUUACUGGGCGUAAAGGGCGCGUAGGCGGCUGUACAAGUCAAAGGUGAAAUCCCUCGGCUCAACUGAGGAACUGCCUUUGAAACUGUACGGCUUGAGGCCGGGAGGGGGUAGCGGAAUUCCCAGUGUAGCGGUGAAAUGCGCAGAUAUCAGGAGGAACACCAAUGGCGAAGGCAGCACUCUGGGACGUGACUGACGCUGAGACGCGAAAGCGUGGGGAGCAAACAGG
Molecule: ribosomal RNA, 253 nt
Filed under: uncultured bacterium
Lineage: Bacteria
Description: partial 16S ribosomal RNA
Rfam family: Bacterial small subunit ribosomal RNA
Source: RNAcentral